UCUGGUGGCCAUAGCAGAGAGGAACCACCCGGUCCCAUUCCGAACCCGGAAGUGAAACUCUUGUGCGCCGAUGGUAGUGGGACGAUAGG
Molecule: ribosomal RNA, 89 nt
Filed under: bacterium
Lineage: Bacteria
Source: RNAcentral